UUUGAUCCUGGCUCAGGAUGAACGCUAGCGACAGGCUUAACACAUGCAAGUCGAGGGGCAGCGGGGAUGAAGCUUGCUUCAUCCGCCGGCGACCGGCGCACGGGUGAGUAACACGUAUGCAACCUGCCCCUGGCUGGGGGAUAAGCCGGAGAAAUCCGGUCUAAUACCGCGUAACAUCCUUACGGGACAUCCCGUUAGGAUCAAAGGAAGCGAUUCCGGCCAGGGAUGGGCAUGCGGCGCAUUAGCUAGUCGGCGGGGUAACGGCCCACCGAGGCGACGAUGCGUAGGGGUUCUGAGAGGAAGGUCCCCCACACUGGUACUGAGACACGGACCAGACUCCUACGGGAGGCAGCAGUGAGGAAUAUUGGUCAAUGGGCGCGAGCCUGAACCAGCCAAGUCGCGUGAGGGAAGACGGUCCUAUGGAUUGUAAACCUCUUUUGCCGGGGAGCAAGCUGGGUCACGUGUGACCCAGCUGAGAGUACCCGGAGAAAAAGCAUCGGCUAACUCCGUG
Molecule: ribosomal RNA, 511 nt
Filed under: uncultured Bacteroidales bacterium
Lineage: Bacteria; Pseudomonadati; Bacteroidota; Bacteroidia; Bacteroidales
Description: bacterial SSU rRNA
Rfam family: Bacterial small subunit ribosomal RNA
Source: RNAcentral